AACACCACCAAGUCAUGGACAACAGCCACCAUAUUAUUUCAAAUCACCUCCAUAUUACUACAAAUCCCCACCUCCACCUUCUCCAUCGCCACCACCUCCAUAUGUCCACAAAUACCCACCUUAUUACUACAAAUCUCCACCUCCACCAUCUCCCUCACCACCUCCUCCGUAUGUGUACAAGUCCCCACCACCUCCAUCUCCCUCUCCUCCUCCUCCAUAUGUCUACAAGUCACCACCUCCUCCAUCACCUUCACCUCCCCCACCAUAUGUCUAUAAGAGUCCACCACCACCCUCUCCAUCACCACCACCUCCAUAUGUCUACAAGUCUCCUCCUCCACCAACACCCUCACCUCCCCCGCCCUAUGUUUACAAGUCACCACCACCUCCUUCCCCUUCACCUCCUCCUCCAUAUGUCUACAAGUCACCACCUCCUCCAUCUCCUUCACCUCCCCCACCAUAUGUCUAUAAGAGUCCACCACCACCCUCUCCAUCACCACCACCUCCAUAUGUCUACAAGUCUCCUCCUCCACCAUCACCUUCUCCUCCCCCACCCUAUAUUUAUAAGUCGCCACCACCUCCAUCUCCUUCACCUCCUCCUCCAUAUGUCUACAAGUCACCACCUCCACCAUCCCCAUCUCCACCACCACCAUAUGUCUACAAAUCUCCACCCCCACCAUCACCUUCACCCCCUCCACCAUAUGUAUAUAAGUCACCACCUCCUCCAUCUCCCUCUCCUCCCCACCAUAUGUUUACAAGUCACCACCUCCACCGUCUCCAUCCCCACCACCUCCAUACGUUUAUAAGUCACCUCCUCCAGCAUCUCCUUCACCACCUCCUCCAUAUAUCUACAAGUCACCACCACCACCAUCCCCUUCACCACCCCCUCCAUACGUCUAUAAGUCCCCUCCUCCUCCUUCUCCUUCACCCCCUCCUCCAUAUGUUUACAAAUCUCCUCCCCCACCAUCUCCUUCACCUCCUCCACCCUAUGUCCAUAAGUCACCUCCACCUCCUUCAGCUUCACCACCUCCUCCAUACUACUACAAAUCUCCACCUCCACCUUCUCCAUCACCUCCUCCACCAUAUGUCUAUAGGUCACCGCCACCUCCUUCGCCUUCACCACCGCCUCCUUAUAUUUACAAGUCUCCACCAUCUCCAUCACCUCCUCCAUAUCAUCCCUACCUCUACAGCUCACCCCCGCCUCCCAUCUAUUAAGCUUCCGGCUAUCAUUUGAAAUUUUUUCAAUGAAUUAUAUUCAGCAUUGUUGUGGUUAAUUUGUU
This 1277-nucleotide long non-coding RNA is filed under the name Medicago truncatula (barrel medic). RNAcentral describes it as "long non-coding RNA (MTRU_LNC001934)". The record is from RNAcentral. Lineage: Eukaryota; Viridiplantae; Streptophyta; Magnoliopsida; Fabales; Fabaceae.